This 1185-nucleotide small nucleolar RNA is filed under the name Rosa hybrid cultivar. RNAcentral describes it as "RNA U3-1". The stretch from base 972 to 1185 matches the Rfam family "Plant small nucleolar RNA U3". The record is from RNAcentral. Lineage: Eukaryota; Viridiplantae; Streptophyta; Magnoliopsida; Rosales; Rosaceae.
AUGUAAUCAAUCUUGGAUUCAGAGAAACAAAGGCAAGAAGCUGUGCAUCGAUCACGCUUCAAUACCAGAUUAAGUACACUGCUAACAAUACUGAUCGGCCAUAUUGGCUUCAUUUCCCCAAACCAAAGACUGCCUCAUAAACUGGCCAUUGGCCCCAGCUCAUGAGGUCUUAGAACAAUGAUAUAUAGCUCACUGUUUUUGAUACAUCAACAUUGCACCAGUACAGAAUGCUGUUACAUAUUGCUUCAAUAUGAAAUCAACCUUACAAAUAAUCUACAUGAAAUCAGACCAAAUCAAAGCCAUCAUGAAAUCGAUCUUCAUAAGCUUGAAGCAGUUUUACCAUGAACUUAGGGAAAACUACUGAUAAUAUUACUACCAGUAGUACUACAGAAUUAGAUAGCAUGUAUUUGAUAUAUUUAUAUAUAUGCACUCGAUGAUGCAAAGAAAUAUUUGAAAUUUUGAAUCCAUUUCUUUUCUUCUUUUUUCUUCUAAUUAUAUUGACAUGUAUAAAUUGCAUGUAGUAGUCUAAUCAAAGCAAUGUAAUCUUAUAAUGUUAACUAUAUCCCUAGAGCUUGAAUCACUCUAGCCAGUUUUGAUCUAUUACUUUACGACACUAGGAACUCAAUUAGGAUUUACAUUGGCUUGACCUGAAGCUAAACAAGUUAUAUGCUUCUCUCAUUAUGAACCAGAAGCCAUGGUAGCCGAUUUAUGAAAAAACAUUCGGAGUGAUCAUAUUACUGUUUAGCAUGGCUUGAAUUUAGGCAAACCAAAAUGAAAAUCCAGAUAUAAAAAGAUUAUUCCUGGUAUCAACUAUGGUAAACAUUAAUCUGGUCAGUGACUUACAAAAGCAGAAGAAUAACGAUCGAGACUUGUGACUUUGCUUAAGACUUGUGAAUUAAUGUGCAGCCUCCCACAUUGAACAGAAGUGAAACAGCAAGGUGUUUAAAUAUGCAACCCCGCGUACAUUGGACACGACCUUACUUGAACAGGAUCUGUUCUAUAGGAUCGUACCUCUGUGUCCUUGACUUCUAAGGAGACAGGAAUCUAAACCUGGUGGAUGAAGCAUAGCCAUGCGAUCAGAGCGUGAUUAACGGCUGGUGAUCUUCGGGUCACUAUGGCUGUAGAUGAUCGUUCUCAGCUUGGUUUAUCCAAGUCUGGGGUGGUCGCUUGGCUGUCUGACAGGUU